Molecule: non-coding RNA, 764 nt
Organism: Oryctolagus cuniculus (rabbit)
Lineage: Eukaryota; Metazoa; Chordata; Mammalia; Lagomorpha; Leporidae
Source: RefSeq, a predicted model, not a curated record
UAGCCCAUCCCAAUAUCAGUUCUUGGGGGGAAAAGGAUGACUAACAGCGGAGCCCGCCACGAGCAGUUGGGUUCUCGCGGGGCGUGCCCCGCGCCUCCCACAGCGCCUGGCACACAGUGGAAGGGUGGGGAUAGUGAAAAAAGGCAUCAGCCAAUGCGCUGUCACCUCUCGGGUCCCCGAGUGCCUUUGCAUCCCUGAAGUAUACAGGUUGCUUUAGAAGUCUGUGUCUUUGGAGUGUAAGCUGUGUGCGGGCAGCAUCGGGUCCGUCUGUCUGCACACUGAGUGCACACCGCAGAGGAGAACCCCUUUCUGAAGAUUCGAACUUUUUACCUCAGCCCCGCCCUUCGCCUUUAUACCGGCAAACAACACCACAUUUAUUUCCAGAAGAGCGUGAGGUUCAGGACGGUCCGGGCGAGGGAGCAGGCUGCCAGCUCUCCUUUCUCUAACUCCUCACACAAACCCCAAAGGGCCCUUUCACCAAAUCAUUAAAUUCUACAGAGGUGGUCAAGCCCGCACUGCUUUUCAUGCGACGGAGAAAGAAAAGGGUCCUUGAAGUUUCGAAGAUGCCCAAGGAAAACUCCUUGAAUGACAUCAAAAGAAUGAGUUUCCAUAGCUGUUGAAGCACGAGGGCAGUGUAUCCGCACAAAGGGGGCUCGGGGCACCGGGACGGGCCCACCGCUCUGUCCCUGGACAAUUGGGUCACUGAAAUAGGGAAUUAAUUACCAUUGGAGAGUGGGCAGCCCAUUCACCACGGGCUGAGUUUU